Molecule: long non-coding RNA, 639 nt
Organism: Manis javanica (Malayan pangolin)
Lineage: Eukaryota; Metazoa; Chordata; Mammalia; Pholidota; Manidae
Source: RefSeq, a predicted model, not a curated record
CGACGAGGACGAAUGGCGCCGCUUCCGCUCGGGCGGCUCCCGCCCCGCCCCUUCCGGCAUCUCCGGGAUUCCGUCCGCACCGGCUGGUGAUCAGAGCUGAGCACACCGACUAGGCUCCCAGCGCGGGAGGCUGCUGCCUGUAAUCAAGUAAUUUGCAACCUGGGCAGGAGACAAGCAUUAUGAUAAUUAUCCAAACAAGCCCAGAUAUAAACAGCAUAGUAAAAGUUUCCAAGAAUUACCUGGAGGACUGGUAAUAGAAGAGACGAAAUGCCUCUCAUCAAAGAUAAACAUUUUGAGACCACUAAGAAGUCUACACCCCUACCCUUUGUCACAUUCCUGGAAAAAUCCUUAAAAGGGGAAAAACCUUAUCUUUCAGUGCACCUCUUCUCUGAGGUAGCCCACACUCCCCAUUCUCCGAGUGUGCACCUUUUUGCCUUAAAACUUUUUCUCAACCUCUCAGGGCACCUCUCUCUGAGGUUACCUGCAUUUUCUUUUUCUUUAAAUAAAAAACCUCUCAGGUUUUUCUCUGAGGUUCCCUGCACUUUUUCUCAACCUUUCAGGGUGUGCCUCUCCUCUCUGAGGUUGCCUGUGUACUUUUUCUCUUUGUGUAACUUUAUUAAAUAAAACUCUGCUUCACUA